GGCGCUCUGGCCGAGUGGUUAAGGCGUUUGACUCGAAUGAUCUUUCACAUCUUCAGCUAUCAAAUCCUUUCGGGGGCAAGAGUUCGAAUCUCUUGGGCGUCG
This 102-nucleotide transfer RNA is filed under the name Aureobasidium namibiae CBS 147.97. It matches the Rfam family "tRNA". Rfam says of the family: Transfer RNA (tRNA) molecules are approximately 80 nucleotides in length. Their secondary structure includes four short double-helical elements and three loops (D, anti-codon, and T loops). Further hydrogen bonds mediate the characteristic L-shaped molecular structure. tRNAs have two regions of fundamental functional importance: the anti-codon, which is responsible for specific mRNA codon recognition, and the 3' end, to which the tRNAs corresponding amino acid is attached (by aminoacyl-tRNA synthetases). tRNAs cope with the degeneracy of the genetic code in two manners: having more than one tRNA (with a specific anti-codon) for a particular amino acid; and 'wobble' base-pairing, i.e. permitting non-standard base-pairing at the 3rd anti-codon position. Lineage: Eukaryota; Fungi; Ascomycota; Dothideomycetes; Dothideales; Saccotheciaceae. The record is from Rfam by way of RNAcentral.